GCUUGCUACCUGACCUAGCGGCGGACGGGUGAGUAAUGCUUAGGAAUCUGCCUAUUAGUGGGGGACAACAUUCCGAAAGGAAUGCUAAUACCGCAUACGCCCUACGGGGGAAAGCAGGGGAUCUUCGGACCUUGCGCUAAUAGAUGAGCCUAAGUCAGAUUAGCUAGUUGGUGGGGUAAAGGCCUACCAAGGCGACGAUCUGUAGCGGGUCUGAGAGGAUGAUCCGCCACACUGGGACUGAGACACGGCCCAGACUCCUACGGGAGGCAGCAGUGGGGAAUAUUGGACAAUGGGCGAAAGCCUGAUCCAGCCAUGCCGCGUGUGUGAAGAAGGCCUUUUGGUUGUAAAGCACUUUAAGCGAGGAGGAGGCUACUUNGAUUAAUACUCUAGGAUAGUGGACGUUACUCGCAGAAUAAGCACCGGCUAACUCUGUGCCAGCAGCCGCGGUAAUACAGAGGGUGCGAGCGUUAAUCGGAUUUACUGGGCGUAAAGCGUGCGUAGGCGGCUUUUUAAGUCGGAUGUGAAAUCCCUGAGCUUAACUUAGGAAUUGCAUUCGAUACUGGGAAGCUAGAGUAUGGGAGAGGAUGGUAGAAUUCCAGGUGUAGCGGUGAAAUGCGUAGAGAUCUGGAGGAAUACCGAUGGCGAAGGCAGCCAUCUGGCCUAAUACUGACGCUGAGGUACGAAAGCAUGGGGAGCAAACAGGAUUAGAUACCCUGGUAGUCCAUGCCGUAAACGAUGUCUACUAGCCGUUGGGGCCUUUGAGGCUUUAGUGGCGCAGCUAACGCGAUAAGU
This 792-nucleotide ribosomal RNA is filed under the name unidentified microorganism. Its description in RNAcentral is "bacterial SSU rRNA". It matches the Rfam family "Bacterial small subunit ribosomal RNA", at positions 78 to 865 of the family's 1533-position model. The record is from RNAcentral.